Non-coding RNA from Pan troglodytes (chimpanzee), 148 nucleotides. It matches the Rfam family "Metazoan signal recognition particle RNA". Rfam says of the family: The signal recognition particle (SRP) is a universally conserved ribonucleoprotein. It is involved in the co-translational targeting of proteins to membranes. Lineage: Eukaryota; Metazoa; Chordata; Mammalia; Primates; Hominidae. The record is from Rfam.
GUCAGGCAUGGUGGUGCGUGCCUGUAAUCCCAGCUACUCAGGAGGCUGAGGCAGGAGAAUCACUUGAACCCAGGAGGCGGAGGUUGCAGUGAGCGGAGAUCAUACCACUGUACUCCAGCCUGGGUGACAGAGUGAGACUCUGUCUCAA